This 274-nucleotide ribosomal RNA is filed under the name uncultured bacterium. Its description in RNAcentral is "partial 16S ribosomal RNA". It matches the Rfam family "Bacterial small subunit ribosomal RNA", at positions 523 to 796 of the family's 1533-position model. The record is from RNAcentral.
AUACGGAGGGUGCGAGCGUUAAUCGGAAUUACUGGGCGUAAAGGGUGCGUAGGCGGCUUGAUAAGUCGGAUGUGAAAGCCCCGGGCUUAACCUGGGAAUUGCAUUCGAUACUGUCAGGCUAGAGUAUGUCAGAGGUUGGCGGAAUUCCUGGUAUAGCGGUGAAAUGCGUAGAUAUCAGGAGGAACACCAGUGGCGAAGGCGGCUAACUGGGGCAAUACUGACGCUGAGGCACGAAAGCGUGGGGGGCAAACAGGAUUAGAUACCCUAGUAGUCC